CCGGAGAAUGAAGAGUGGCGAACGGGUGAGUAACACGUGGGUAACCUGCCCAUCAGAAGGGGAUAACACUUGGAAACAGGUGCUAAUACCGUAUAACAAUCGAAACCGCAUGGUUUUGAUUUGAAAGGCGCUUUCGGGUGUCGCUGAUGGAUGGACCCGCGGUGCAUUAGCUAGUUGGUGAGGUAACGGCUCACCAAGGCCACGAUGCAUAGCCGACCUGAGAGGGUGAUCGGCCACAUUGGGACUGAGACACGGCCCAAACUCCUACGGGAGGCAGCAGUAGGGAAUCUUCGGCAAUGGACGAAAGUCUGACCGAGCAACGCCGCGUGAGUGAAGAAGGUUUUCGGAUCGUAAAACUCUGUUGUUAGAGAAGAACAAGGAUGAGAGUAACUGUUCAUCCCUUGACGGUAUCUAACCAGAAAGCCACGGCUAACUACGUGCCAGCAGCCGCGGUAAUACGUAGGUGGCAAGCGUUGUCCGGAUUUAUUGGGCGUAAAGCGAGCGCAGGCGGUUUCUUAAGUCUGAUGUGAAAGCCCCCGGCUCAACCGGGGAGGGUCAUUGGAAACUGGGAGACUUGAGUGCAGAAGAGGAGAGUGGAAUUCCAUGUGUAGCGGUGAAAUGCGUAGAUAUAUGGAGGAACACCAGUGGCGAAGGCGGCUCUCUGGUCUGUAACUGACGCUGAGGCUCGAAAGCGUGGGGAGCAAACAGGAUUAGAUACCCUGGUAGUCCACGCCGUAAACGAUGAGUGCUAAGUGUUGGAGGGUUUCCGCCCUUCAGUGCUGCAGCUAACGCAUUAAGCACUCCGCCUGGGGAGUACGACCGCAAGGUUGAAACUCAAAGGAAUUGACGGGGGCCCGCACAAGCGGUGGAGCAUGUGGUUUAAUUCGAAGCAACGCGAAGAACCUUACCAGGUCUUGACAUCCUUUGACCACUCUAGAGAUAGAGCUUCCCCUUCGGGGGCAAAGUGACAGGUGGUGCAUGGUUGUCGUCAGCUCGUGUCGUGAGAUGUUGGGUUAAGUCCCGCAACGAGCGCAACCCUUAUUGUUAGUUGCCAUCAUUCAGUUGGGCACUCUAGCAAGACUGCCGGUGACAAACCGGAGGAAGGUGGGGAUGACGUCAAAUCAUCAUGCCCCUUAUGACCUGGGCUACACACGUGCUACAAUGGGAAGUACAACGAGUUGCGAAGUCGCGAGGCUAAGCUAAUCUCUUAAAGCUUCUCUCAGUUCGGAUUGCAGGCUGCAACUCGCCUGCAUGAAGCCGGAAUCGCU
RNAcentral lists this ribosomal RNA (1268 nucleotides) under Enterococcus faecium. RNAcentral describes it as "bacterial SSU rRNA". It matches the Rfam family "Bacterial small subunit ribosomal RNA", at positions 80 to 1336 of the family's 1533-position model. Lineage: Bacteria; Bacillati; Bacillota; Bacilli; Lactobacillales; Enterococcaceae. The record is from RNAcentral.